GACGAACGCUGGCGGCGCGCCUAACACAUGCAAGUCGAGCGAUGAAAUUUUAACCGAUCUCUUCGGAGAGAAGAUAAAAUGGAUUAGCGGCGGACGGGUGAGUAACACGCGAGAAACCUGCCUUUCACAAGGGGAUAGCCUCGGGAAACCGGGAUUAAUACCCUAUGGCACAUUUCCUUCGCAUGGAAGAAAUGUUAAAACUCCGGUGGUGAAAGAUGGUCUCGCGCCUGAUUAGCUAGUUGGUGGGGUAACGGCCCACCAAGGCCAUGAUCAGUAACCGGCCUGAGAGGGUGAACGGUCACAUUGGAACUGAGACCCGGUCCAAACUCCUACGGGAGGCAGCAGUGGGGAAUAUUGCACAAUGGAGGAAACUCUGAUGCAGCGACGCCGCGUGAGCGAUGAAGGCUUUCGAGUCGUAAAGCUCUGUCCUAUGGGAAGAUAAUGACGGUACCAUAGGAGGAAGCCCCGGCUAACUACGUG
RNAcentral lists this ribosomal RNA (480 nucleotides) under uncultured bacterium. Its description in RNAcentral is "partial 16S ribosomal RNA". It matches the Rfam family "Bacterial small subunit ribosomal RNA", at positions 28 to 507 of the family's 1533-position model. The record is from RNAcentral.